RNAcentral lists this ribosomal RNA (293 nucleotides) under uncultured bacterium. Its description in RNAcentral is "partial 16S ribosomal RNA". It matches the Rfam family "Archaeal small subunit ribosomal RNA", at positions 455 to 747 of the family's 1478-position model. The record is from RNAcentral.
GUGCCAGCCGCCGCGGUACUACCGGCAGCUCAAGUGAUGUCCCAUAUUAUUGGGCCUAAAGCGUCCGUAGCUGGCUGCGCAAGUCCGUCGGGAAAUCCACUCGCCCAACGAGUGGGCGUCCGACGGAAACUGCACAGCUUGGGACCGGAAGGCUCGAAGGGUACGUUCGGGGUAGGAGUGAAAUCCCAUAAUCCCGCACGGACCACCGAUGGCGAAAGCACUUCGAGAAAACGGAUCCGACAGUGAGGGACGAAAGCUAGGGUCUCGAACCGGAUUAGAAACCCCUGUAGCCC